Molecule: ribosomal RNA, 253 nt
Filed under: uncultured bacterium
Lineage: Bacteria
Description: partial 16S ribosomal RNA
Rfam family: Bacterial small subunit ribosomal RNA
Source: RNAcentral
UACGAAGGUCCCGAGCGUUGUUCGGAAUCACUGGGCGUAAAGGGAGCGUAGGCGGUUUGGUAAGUCAGAUGUGAAAUCCCGGGGCUCAACCCCGGAACUGCAUCCGAUACUGCCAGACUUGAGCAAUGGAGAGGUAGCUGGAAUUAUCGGUGUAGCAGUGAAAUGCGUAGAUAUCGAUAGGAACACUCGUGGCGAAAGCGAGCUACUGGACAUUUGCUGACGCUGAGGCUCGAAGGCUAGGGGAGCGAAAGGG